AGCUCGGGGCUGCGCAGAGGGAAGGCUCGCCUAGUCGGUCCGCAUCCGUGUCGACCACCUGUCUGGACACCACGAAGAUGCCACCCGUUGUGGGCAAAAAGGCCAAGAAGGGCAUCCUAGAACGUUUAAAUGCUGGAGAGAUUGUGAUUGGAGAUGGAGGGUUUGUCUUUGCACUGGAGAAGAGGGGCUACGUAAAGGCAGGACCCUGGACUCCUGAAGCUGCUGUGGAGCACCCAGAAGCAGUUCGCCAGCUUCAUCGAGAGUUCCUCAGAGCUGGCUCAAACGUCAUGCAGACCUUCACCUUCUAUGCGAGUGAAGACAAGCUGGAGAACAGGGGCAACUAUGUCUUAGAGAAGAUAUCUGUGAGUAAAACCAGCCGUGGGACUUUUAGAAGGAUAUUGUUGACCUAUUGCAUCAACAAAGCUCCCAUAGAGAAAAGGGUUCAACCUCUUCAGAGUUUUGUUUUAUUUCUAAUAAUACAAAAAUGAGAGGCAUGAAUAACAGCCCUAGGUUUUAUUUAGCUGGAAUCCCCAAAAUUAACAAAGAGGCAUUUAGCGAAGCAGAUGAAAGAAGAGGUAUUUAAUGAUUACUG
This 592-nucleotide small RNA is filed under the name Pongo abelii (Sumatran orangutan). RNAcentral describes it as "retained intron". The record is from RNAcentral. Lineage: Eukaryota; Metazoa; Chordata; Mammalia; Primates; Hominidae.